GGCAGCCGGGGCCCAGGGGAGCCUGGGGGGGACCUGAGGACAUUUUGUUCCACACCCCUGAGCUCUGGCCCUGCCUUAGCCCCUCAGCCAAACCUCCCCUUGCCCAGGGCCAGGCAUUUUGGAAGGAGGAGCCAGGAGCUCUUUCACUCUGGGCUCUCCACGGUCCCCAUGGAAUUGAGGCUGGGCCAUCAACCAACUUUUAUGUGACUCGGGCAAGUCACUGUACCCCAUUUUUUCUUCCAUAGAAUGUGGAAAAUCACCUCUUCCUCUCAGGUGGCCGUGAGAAGAGAUUUGUAUUGGGGUCUCUGGGAUGCCUUUCCUGUCCCCCCACCUUAAAGUGGCUCAGAAACCGCCUGAUUGCUGCAAAUGCCAGGAAAUUGCCUGCCUGUUCCCCAGCCCCCAGCACCCAGGCCAAGCUUGACAGAGUGAGCGCUUUGCACUUGUUGAAGGACUGAAGGAACCAUCCAACGGACCUAGUCGCACCCAGACAGACGCCUGGGAUUCUAAGGUUUGCGUUUUAUCUGUGACAUGCCCAGCCUAGAGCCUGGCACACAGCAGGUGCUCAAUAAAUAUCUAUAUGAAUUAGGAGGAAACCAAAAACCAGAGAAGGGAAGGGAAAGGACCCUUGGCCGCAUGGCGAGUCUGGGACAGCCUGAGCCUCCCUGGCCUGCCUCACACAGACUGUCCAACCCAUCUCUUCUCAAAGCUGAAAAAUAUUUUCGUCUCUACCUGAUGUGACUGAGUGACUGCUGGAGCCUUGCUGUGACCCUGAGGCAGCAGAUAUGUCAAAAAACAGCCUUUCAAGAAUGGUGGAACAGCAAAAUUGAGACUCUGGGUCCGUGACAUCACUGAGCUGCUCCCCCAAGCUGGUCUUUUUGAUAUGUGAGGAAAAUAAA
Long non-coding RNA from Lemur catta (Ring-tailed lemur), 896 nucleotides. RefSeq lists it as uncharacterized. Lineage: Eukaryota; Metazoa; Chordata; Mammalia; Primates; Lemuridae. The record is from RefSeq and is a predicted model, not a curated record. The transcript has 4 exons.